Molecule: ribosomal RNA, 1029 nt
Filed under: Salmonella enterica subsp. enterica serovar Saintpaul
Lineage: Bacteria; Pseudomonadati; Pseudomonadota; Gammaproteobacteria; Enterobacterales; Enterobacteriaceae
Description: partial 23S ribosomal RNA
Rfam family: Bacterial large subunit ribosomal RNA
Source: RNAcentral
CGUAUCACCCAAGACAACUUUACGGAGUUGACGAUUGACGGAGCGAAGCGACGUCAAAGCGUUCAUUAAAGUCGAGUUGGCUUAGGGAUACGUUCGUUGGGUAGGGGAGCGUUCUGUAAGCCUGUGAAGGUGUGUCGUGAGGCAUGCUGGAGGUAUCAGAAGUGCGAAUGCUGACAUAAGUAACGAUAAAGCGGGUGAAAAGCCCGCUCGCCGGAAGACCAAGGGUUCCUGUCCAACGUUAAUCGGGGCAGGGUGAGUCGACCCCUAAGGCGAGGCCGAAAGGCGUAGUCGAUGGGAAACGGGUUAAUAUUCCCGUACUUGGUGUUACUGCGAAGGGGGGACGGAGAAGGCUAUGUUGGCCGGGCGACGGUUGUCCCGGUUUAAGCGUGUAGGCUGGUUUUCCAGGCAAAUCCGGAAAAUCAAGGCUGAGGCGUGACGACGAGGCACUACGGUGCUGAAGCAACAAAUGCCCUGCUUCCAGGAAAAGCCUCUAAGCAUCAGGUAACAUCAAAUCGUACCCCAAACCGACACAGGUGGUCAGGUAGAGAAUACCAAGGCGCUUGAGAGAACUCGGGUGAAGGAACUAGGCAAAAUGGUGCCGUAACUUCGGGAGAAGGCACGCUGACAUGUAGGUGAAGUGAUUUACUCAUGGAGCUGAAGUCAGUCGAAGAUACCAGCUGGCUGCAACUGUUUAUUAAAAACACAGCACUGUGCAAACACGAAAGUGGACGUAUACGGUGUGACGCCUGCCCGGUGCCGGAAGGUUAAUUGAUGGGGUCAGCGCAAGCGAAGCUCCUGAUCGAAGCCCCGGUAAACGGCGGCCGUAACUAUAACGGUCCUAAGGUAGCGAAAUUCCUUGUCGGGUAAGUUCCGACCUGCACGAAUGGCGUAAUGAUGGCCAGGCUGUCUCCACCCGAGACUCAGUGAAAUUGAACUCGCUGUGAAGAUGCAGUGUACCCGCGGCAAGACGGAAAGACCCCGUGAACCUUUACUAUAGCUUGACACUGAACAUUGAGCCUUGAUGUGUAG